Oncorhynchus kisutch (coho salmon) is the source of this 1568-nucleotide long non-coding RNA. Lineage: Eukaryota; Metazoa; Chordata; Actinopteri; Salmoniformes; Salmonidae. The record is from Ensembl.
AUGAUGCGGCGAAUCAGAACGGAAACGAGAAUAAGGAGUGCUAACGGGUCUUCCUACAAUUAUUCUAUCUCUGUACCAUGCCUGUAUCUAUCAGACACCACACAUCAAGUAAGUAUACUUCAUGGUUGUAUUCCAAAUAUCCCCCUAUUCUCUAUAGUGCACAAAUUUUCAAAUAAGAUUGUAUUUGUCACAUGCGCCGAAUACAACAGGUGUAGACCUAGUGAAAUGCUGAAUACAACAGGUGUAGACCUAGUGAAAUGCUGAAUACAACAGGUGUAGACCUAGUGAAAUGCUGAAUACAACAGGUGUAGACCUAGUGAAAUGCUGAAUACAACAGGUGUAGACCUAGUGAAAUGCUGAAUACAACAGGUGUAGACCUAGUGAAAUGCUGAAUACAACAGGUGUAGACCUAGUGAAAUGCUGAAUACAACAGGUGUAGACCUAGUGAAAUGCUGAAUACAACAGGUGUAGACCUAGUGAAAUGCUGAAUACAACAGGUGUAGACCUAGUGAAAUGCUGAAUACAACAGGUGUAGACCUAGUGAAAUGCUGAAUACAACAGGUGUAGACCUAGUGAAAUGCUGAAUACAACAGGUGUAGACCUAGUGAAAUGCUGAAUACAACAGGUGUAGACCUAGUGAAAUGCUGAAUACAACAGGUGUAGACCUAGUGAAAUGCUGAAUACAACAGGUGUAGACCUAGUGAAAUGCUGAAUACAACAGGUGUAGACCUAGUGAAAUGCUGAAUACAACAGGUGUAGACCUAGUGAAAUGCUGAAUACAACAGGUGUAGACCUAGUGAAAUGCUUUUACUUAGAAGCCCUUAACCAACAAUACAGUUUUAAGAAGAACAAAAAAAAAUAUAUAUAUAUAUAACAAAUAAUUAAAGAGCAGCAGUAAAAUCACAAUAGCGAGGCUAUAUACAGGGUAGUGAUGCACCGAUAUGACAUUUUUGGCCGAUAUGCGAUAUUUUCCUUGCCAGAAAAACCCAAUACUGAUAUUUUAUAUUUUAGGGGUCUUUUAAGCAUUCUAGUACAGUUAAAUAGUUAACACACAGGCACAUGGAUGCUGCGGUUGAAGGCACUGCAUCUCAGUGUAAGAGGCGUCCCUACAGUCCCUGGUUCGAAUCCAGGCUGUAUCACACCCGGCCGUGAUUGAGAUUCCCAUCGGCCGGCCCACAAUUGGCCCAUCAUCGUCUGGGGUAGGCCGUCAUUGUAAAUAAGAAUUUGUUCGUAACUGACUUGCCUAAAUAAAGGUUGCACACACACACACCACAUUGACCAAAAAGUUAUUUUGUUGGCAUUUAUGCAUGUCCCCAUUUACCAGUAAAACAUAAUAAUAAAAUUUAUUUCACUUACUUGCUGUGCUGUUUUGUUGUUCAGUCGUUUCAUUCUCAUCCAGGAUUUCUAUGGAACGACGUUUGGGUCUUUGCAUGUUAAAAAAGAUAUGCGUCAAAUAACACUUUGAUGUGUCAAAUUAGCUUGUUGACCAAUCAGGACCUGAAUAUGACUGCACGUCACAUAAUCAUUUAACACAUUCAUACAUUUUUUACGUUGUUAUAACACAUUGA